This 460-nucleotide ribosomal RNA is filed under the name uncultured bacterium. RNAcentral's name for it is "partial 16S ribosomal RNA". It matches the Rfam family "Bacterial small subunit ribosomal RNA", at positions 338 to 795 of the family's 1533-position model. The record is from RNAcentral.
CCUACGGGUGGCAGCAGUGAGGAAUAUUGGUCAAUGGACGAGAGUCUGAACCAGCCAAGUAGCGUGAAGGAUGACUGCCCUAUGGGUUGUAAACUUCUUUUAUAAAGGAAUAAAACGAGGCACGUGUGCCUUUUUGCAUGUACUUUAUGAAUAAGGAUCGGCUAACUCCGUGCCAGCAGCCGCGGUAAUACGGAGGAUCCGAGCGUUAUCCGGAUUUAUUGGGUUUAAAGGGAGCGUAGAUGGGUUGUUAAGUCAGUUGUGAAAGUUUGCGGCUCAAACGUAAAAUUGCAAUUGAUACUGGCAGUCGUGAGUACAGUUGAGGUAGGCGGAAUUCGUGGUGUAGCGGUGAAAUGCUUAGAUAUCACGAAGAACCCCGAUUGCGAAGGCAGCUUACUAAACUGUGACUGACAUUGAUGCUCGAAAGUGUGGGUAUCAAACAGGAUUAGAUACCCCUGUAGUC